This 369-nucleotide ribosomal RNA is filed under the name uncultured bacterium. RNAcentral's name for it is "partial 16S ribosomal RNA". It matches the Rfam family "Bacterial small subunit ribosomal RNA", at positions 338 to 724 of the family's 1533-position model. The record is from RNAcentral.
CCUACGGGAGUCAGCAGUGGGGAAUAUUGCACAAUGGGGGAAACCCUGAUGCAGCAACGCCGCGUGAGUGAUGACGGCCUUCGGGUUGUAACGCUCUGUCUUCAGGGACGAUAAUGACGGUACCUGCGGAGGAAGCCACGGCUAACUACGUGCCAGCAGCCGCGGUAAUACGUAGGUGGCGAGCGUUGUCCGGAUUUACUGGGCGUAAAGGGGGCGUAGGCGGACUUUUAAGUGAGAUGUGAAAUACUCGGGCGCAACUUGAGUGCUUCAUUUCAAACUGGAAGUCUAGAGUGCAGGAGAGGAGAAUGGAAUGCCUGGUGUAGGGGGGAAAUGCGUAGAGAUUAGGAAGAAAACCAGUGGCGAAGGCGA